GUUUUUAAGUUUUCAACAACAGAACUCUUCCCGUCCCUGUCUCCGACACUGCACGGAGACUCCCGGUCAUGUCUCCAGCUCUUUGAAAAGAUCGGGAAGAGAGCUGGACGGAGAGAGAGAGAGAGAGAGAGGGGUGACAGUGAAUGAGAGCAGCGGGAAGAAGGCUCUAGCACGAAAACAGGAGAGAAAAAGAGAACGUGGACAGCAGGGUAUUAAAAGAAGAAGCACUCAGCGACAACUAUUAGGCUAUAGUGGACGGGAAACAUCGGUACCUGAAUUUGGCUAACACCAGCCAGGGAGUGAGGGGCUGUGCAACAUGAUCGUGCCAUAUUUAAAUGAACGUCGUUGGAAGUCCCCCUUCCUUUGGAAUAAAGAGCAUCACCGUGUCACACGGUCAGAAUCGACAAGUCUUCUCCUAAUGUCAUCUUAAGAAAUAAUAAAAAAGGAAAAAAAUACUGUUUAUCAAAACUCCA
Oncorhynchus tshawytscha (Chinook salmon) is the source of this 473-nucleotide long non-coding RNA. The record is from Ensembl. Lineage: Eukaryota; Metazoa; Chordata; Actinopteri; Salmoniformes; Salmonidae.